Molecule: ribosomal RNA, 505 nt
Filed under: uncultured bacterium
Lineage: Bacteria
Description: partial 16S ribosomal RNA
Rfam family: Bacterial small subunit ribosomal RNA
Source: RNAcentral
GACGAACGCUGGCGGCGUGCCUAAUACAUGCAAGUAGAACGCACAGUUUAUACCGUAGCUUGCUACACCAUAAACUGUGAGUUGCGAACGGGUUAGUAACGCGUAGGUAACCUGCCUGGGAGCGCGGGUUAACUAUUGGAAACGAUAGCUAAUACCGCAUCAUAUUGAUUAUUGCAUGAUAAUUGAUUGAAAGAUGCUAUUGCAUCACUACCAGAUGGACCUGGGUUGUAUUAGCUAGUAGGUGAGGUAACGGCUCAGCUAGGCGUCGAUACAUAGCCGAACUGAGAGGGUGAUCGGCCACACUGGGGAGGGGACAAGGCGCAGAACUCUACGGGAGGCAGCAGUAGGGAAUCUUCGGCAAGGAGCGAAAGUCAGACCGAGGCAAGCGGCGAGAGUGAAGAAGGUCAUCGGAUCGUAAAGGUCUGUGGUAAGCGAAGAGUGGGUGGGAGAGUCCAAAGUUCAAGCUAUGACGGUAUCUGAGGAGAAAGGGACGGCUAACUCCGUG